Molecule: non-coding RNA, 733 nt
Organism: Seriola dumerili (greater amberjack)
Lineage: Eukaryota; Metazoa; Chordata; Actinopteri; Carangiformes; Carangidae
Source: the annotation of a RefSeq genome assembly
AAGAGGAGACGGAGAGAUUCAGGGAGGAGCUGAGCUGUUACUGAACUAUAGAAGAGAGAGGAACUUCCAUAUUCAGCACAGUUCAAUACACAAACCAUCAACAUUACCUUUAUUCAACAUGCUGUCAUUGGACUAUUAUGGACUGUCUCUACUGUUUGUCUCUACUCUAACAGGAGUCAGCUGUAAAGAACUGACUCCAGUCAAGACUGAAGAGUUCAGUUCAGAAGGCAGCACUGUUACUCUGUCCUACAACUACUCCAGAGGAGCAACUAGUGAUGAUCGUUUCUUCUGGUAUCGACAAUAUCCAGGAAAACAACCAGAGUUCCUCAUCUUUCACUUGGGAAAUCAAAAUGAAACAAAGUCUGGACUGUCAGUUACAGUGAGUGGUGAUAAAACCAGAAUGGAUCUGCAGAUCUCCUCUGCUGCAGUGAUUGACUCUGCUCUGUACUACUGUGCUGUGAAGCCCACAGUGACAGCAAACCCACAGUCUCUGUACAAAAACACAAGCUGACACACUGACAAGCUGCUGGAAGCCUUUUCUCCACACUGUUGAACUCUACUUUUUACCUCCACUAGAGGGCCACAUUAUCAAGUAGGCGGUGCACUACUUCCUCACUGUGUUCAACCACUGUGUCAAUAAUAACUGCUGCUGUGAAGAGAACAACUGUCAGAGUGAAUGUUGAACAUCAGCUAGUUUCUCCUGUUGAUUUAAACCUUGUUGUAGAGAUGGAAC